This 497-nucleotide ribosomal RNA is filed under the name uncultured bacterium. RNAcentral describes it as "partial 16S ribosomal RNA". It matches the Rfam family "Bacterial small subunit ribosomal RNA", at positions 28 to 507 of the family's 1533-position model. The record is from RNAcentral.
GAUGAACGCUGGCGGCGUGCCUAAUACAUGCAAGUCGAGCGAACGGACGAGGAGCUUGCUUCUCUGAUGUUAGCGGCGGACGGGUGAGUAACACGUGGAUAACCUACCUAUAAGACUGGGAUAACUUCGGGAAACCGUAGCUAAUACCGGAUAAUAUUUUGAACCGCAUGGUUCAAAAGUGAAAGACGGUCUUGCUGUCACUUAUAGAUGGAUCCGCGCUGCAUUAGCUAGUUGGUAAGGUAACGGCUUACCAAGGCAACGAUGCAUAGCCGACCUGAGAGGGUGAUCGGCCACACUGGAACUGAGACACGGUCCAGACUCCUACGGGAGGCAGCAGUAGGGAAUCUUCCGCAAUGGGCGAAAGCCUGACGGAGCAACGCCGCGUGAGUGAUGAAGGCCUUCGGAUCGUAAAACUCUGUUAUUAGGGAAGAACAUAUGUGUAAGUAACUGUGCACAUCUUGACGGUACCUAAUCAGAAAGCCACGGCUAACUACGUG